GAUGAACGCUGGCGGCGUGCCUAAUACAUGCAAGUCGAGCGAACGGACGAGAAGCUUGCUUCUCUGAUGUUAGCGGCGGACGGGUGAGUAACACGUGGAUAACCUACCUAUAAGACUGGGAUAACUUCGGGAAACCGGAGCUAAUACCGGAUGAUAUUUUGAACCGCAUGGUUCAAAAGUGAAAGACGGUCUUGCUGUCACUUAUAGAUGGAUCCGCGCUGCAUUAGCUAGUUGGUAAGGUAACGGCUUACCAAGGCAACGAUGCAUAGCCGACCUGAGAGGGUGAUCGGCCACACUGGGACUGAGACACGGUCCAGACGCCUACGGGAGGCAGCAGUAGGGAAUCUUCCGCAAUGGGCGAAAGCCUGACGGAGCAACGCCGCGUGAGUGAUGAAGGUCUUCGGAUCGUAAAACUCUGUUAUUAGGGAAGAACAUAUGUGUAAGUAACUGUGCACAUCUUGACGGUACCUAAUCAGAAAGCCACGGCUAACUACGUG
This 497-nucleotide ribosomal RNA is filed under the name uncultured bacterium. Its description in RNAcentral is "partial 16S ribosomal RNA". It matches the Rfam family "Bacterial small subunit ribosomal RNA", at positions 28 to 507 of the family's 1533-position model. The record is from RNAcentral.